Molecule: ribosomal RNA, 314 nt
Filed under: uncultured bacterium
Lineage: Bacteria
Description: bacterial SSU rRNA
Rfam family: Bacterial small subunit ribosomal RNA
Source: RNAcentral
GAGGAAACUUGUGCUAAUACCGGAUAAGUCUUUACGGAGAAAGCUUUAUGCACCAUUGGAUGAGCCUGCACUUGAUUAGUUUGUUGGUGGGGUAAUGGCCUACCAAGACUGUGAUCAAUAGCUGAUUUGAGAGGAUGAUCAGCCACAUUGGGACUGAGACACGGCCCAAACUCCUACGGGAGGCAGCAGUGGGGAAUCUUGCACAAUGGAGGAAACUCUGAUGCAGCGAUGCCGCGUGAGUGAAGAAGGCCCUUGGGUUGUAAAGCUCUUUCGUCGGGGAAGAAAAUGACUGUACCCGAAUAAGAAGGUCCGGC